This 232-nucleotide ribosomal RNA is filed under the name uncultured bacterium. RNAcentral's name for it is "partial 16S ribosomal RNA". It matches the Rfam family "Bacterial small subunit ribosomal RNA", at positions 524 to 754 of the family's 1533-position model. The record is from RNAcentral.
UACGAAGGGGCUAGCGUUGCUCGGAAUCACUGGGCGUAAAGGGUGCGUAGGCGGGUUUUUAAGUCAGGGGUGAAAUCCUGGAGCUCAACUCCAGAACUGCCUUUGAUACUGAAGAUCUUCGAGUCCGGGAGAGGUGAGUGGAACUGCGAGUGUAGAGGUGAAAUUCGUAGAUAUUCGCAAGAACACCAGUGGCGAAGGCGGCUCACUGGCCCGGUACUGACGCUGAGGUCGC